This is a long non-coding RNA of Prunus dulcis (almond), 617 nucleotides long. RefSeq lists it as uncharacterized. The transcript has 3 exons. The record is from RefSeq and is a predicted model, not a curated record. Lineage: Eukaryota; Viridiplantae; Streptophyta; Magnoliopsida; Rosales; Rosaceae.
AGUUCCCUUGUCAGCGAUCAAACCCUAACGAGUCCCCAUUCUUCCCUGGAGAUCAGCUCACUAAUUUCAAAGGCCAAUCCCAAACACCAGGAGGCGGAGGAGGAGCAGGUGGUGCUUCGCAGAGAUUGAUGUCGAUCACUGAUGCUCUGUUGUUUAUCAAGCAACUCAAGGACGUGGGUGGUGACCAAAGAGAAGAAUAUUACAUGUUUCUUGAAAUCAUGAAAGAUUUUAAGGCUCAAAGGAUCGACACGAAGGGUGUUUGUGCGAGAGUAAAGGCAUUAUUCAAAGGGCACAACCACUUAAUUUUGGGAUUUAAUCAGUUCCUGCCACAGGGUUAUCAGAUAAUCCCUGAGGAAGAAGAUGCGACUCCGCCGCUGCAAAAACAGACAGCUGAUAUGAAGCUGCUAUCGCGUUUGUAAACAAUACAGGGGAGGACAACAAGGAGGACUGCAAUAUCUGCUUGAGGAUGUUGGGCUUGAGUGAUUGAGUUCCUUAGAUAACUAUUCAUGUAUUGUUGGACUCAAAUAGGUUUUUCCUUCAACCAUAAAGAUUUAAAAUUGGACCUUCAUAAGUGUUAAAGAAUGGUUUAACUCUAUUUUUUUGGGUUAAUUUUUGUU